UAGAGAUAUUUUGUUGAACAUUUUGCUUAUUAACAAUCCAUUUCUCAGCAUCAUUCCACUUGGAGGAAGUCUGUCUCGAGAAAUAUCCUGAUGUUGGAUUCUGCGCUGCUGUUUUCUCUCCUCCAUGGAACUCGAAACUACUGGUUGCUGAACUGAACUUUUGGUCAUGUCCUCAACCUUGUUGAUGUCCAAUGGUGGAUCCUUCUCUAAAGCUUCAGUUUUGUUGAUUGCUGAGGAGCAUUUGGAUCCAUCAGAGCUGCCUGAAACUGCUAGAAGAGCAAGAUAGCUGUGUGAUUGACUUGAUCAGGAAAAUUGUUCUUCGAAGGUGAUGUCCGUGAUGAGCUGUUGCUGAUGACCCUCACACGAUUGUGAGUUCCCAGAAGCUUCAUCCUUAGCUUUGUCGGAGAAAGUGCACCAGCCUACAGGAACAACAAAGCAGCCAGUUCAUACAUUUGGAUUCGCCGUGUACUUGGAGCAAAAUUUGGACAUGUGAGCGAUUGGAGCUUGGGCUCUGGAGUACAGGCAUGGCUAAAAACUGAAAAGCAGAGAGCAUCUCGUGGGAGGAGGACGAGCUGGGGAGGGAAGGUGAAAAAAGUUGCAGCAAUGGAUGGAGGAUGGCAAGAGCAGGGGGCUUUUUCAGAGGAGAGGGGCAGCAGCAGCAGCUAUAGUCAGCUACGGCAGCAAAGUGCUUGGGCUGAACGGAAAGCCUCGCUAAAGAUGGCCCUUCAUGUUGGCGAGCAUCGCGCAUUUGUGUGCUGCAGCAUGGUUUUUUGAGCUGGAGGUCUGGACUCGAGAGCCGUGGAGAGUAUAGCUACGGCGCAAAUUUACAUGCGGGACCCCACCGACUAAGAAAUGUCAGGAAAGGUCCUUUUUCAGAAAGAAAAUAUGGAGCGGAGGACCCCGUUUUGGCAGGUUUUAAGGCGAACAGCGCGAGAAGAAAACAAAAGAUCCAGUGGUAUCAAGAAUAGUAUGCUGGCAUGUGCACAAACACCCUCAAAAUAAUUGGUUCACAUCAUCAAAAUAUUUCUUUUUUCUGGAGGAAUAUCAAAUCUUCCCUCCUUAUACAAUGUAUGCAUUGUUUUGUAUUCAUAUACAUAUAUGUAGUAAAGCAGUAUAGUAAUUUUUUUCAGGUGCAAAAAUUUGUUGGAUUACCUCUCUGUGGAUCAUAAAAAUGGUACUAAUUUAAUUGAUCCCUAAUGUUAAUAUAUUCCAAUAGGAUGAUCCCAUUAUAGCACAGUAGCAGUGCUGCACAUCAGAUCUACCUCCGUCCAA
This is a long non-coding RNA of Oryza sativa Japonica Group (Japanese rice), 1272 nucleotides long. RefSeq lists it as uncharacterized. Lineage: Eukaryota; Viridiplantae; Streptophyta; Magnoliopsida; Poales; Poaceae. The record is from RefSeq and is a predicted model, not a curated record.